Non-coding RNA from Drosophila melanogaster (fruit fly), 555 nucleotides. NCBI's taxonomy places the organism in Eukaryota, Metazoa, Arthropoda, Insecta, Diptera, Drosophilidae. The record is from Ensembl.
AAUGCAAAUGAGUUGGCAUAUGGCUCAACUGUCACGACAACUAUAUACGACAAUGGCGUUUCGGAUGAGGAUUUCUAUAAGCCGAAGAUUUCGCCGCUAUGAGUUCUAAGGAAUCGGCUGGAAUUGGGUCGAAAACAUUCGUUGGAACACCGCCCCACAUUCCACUGAGUCAUCAGGUUAAUUCAAUUUGAGUUGUAAGCAAAUUUUGCACAAAUGAAAUGCACAAACUUUUGCCAUUGACAGACACACACGCCAACCAAGAGCAAUAAAUUUCCAAAGUGUUUAUGUAAACGACCCGAUUGCUGUGCAGAAACAGAAAAUGAAAGCCGUCGUCUGGCUGCACUUUGUCACCAGGCAUGCGGAACAUAAUGCCGAUUUUUUCGCCUGGAAAAUGGCUGGGCGAUAAUAAAUCUUCCGCUUGGAACAAAUCACAGCAAUUCCAUUAUGUACACAUUUAAUGAUGUUGCCAGCCAAAGCCGCCAAAUCCGCAUCCAAAUCCAAAGCAACGAGCCAGAGACAAUUACUUGCAGCCCGCGAGCAUUUUCUACGACUUAU